UACGUAGGUGGCGAGCGUUAUCCGGAUUUACUGGGUGUAAAGGGUGUGUAGGCGGGUCUGCAAGUCAGAUGUGAAAUGCUACGGCUUAACUGUAGCACUGCAUCAGAAACUGCAGAUCUUGAGAGUGGGAGAGGUAAGCGGAAUUCCUGGUGUAGCGGUGAAAUGCGUAGAUAUCAGGAGGAACACCGGUGGCGAAGGCGGCUUACUGGACCACAACUGACGCUGAGACACGAAAGCGUGGGGAGCAAAC
RNAcentral lists this ribosomal RNA (250 nucleotides) under uncultured bacterium. RNAcentral's name for it is "partial 16S ribosomal RNA". It matches the Rfam family "Bacterial small subunit ribosomal RNA", at positions 524 to 773 of the family's 1533-position model. The record is from RNAcentral.